UACGUAGGGUGCAAGCGUUAAUCGGAAUUACUGGGCGUAAAGCGUGCGCAGGCGGUUUUGUAAGACAGUGGUGAAAUCCCCGGGCUCAACCUGGGAACUGCCAUUGUGACUGCAAGGCUAGAGUGCGGCAGAGGGGGAUGGAAUUCCGCGUGUAGCAGUGAAAUGCGUAGAUAUGCGGAGGAACACCGAUGGCGAAGGCAAUCCCCUGGGCCUGCACUGACGCUCAUGCACGAAAGCGUGGGGAGCAACCAGGAUUAGAUACC
This 263-nucleotide ribosomal RNA is filed under the name uncultured Burkholderiales bacterium. RNAcentral's name for it is "partial 16S ribosomal RNA". It matches the Rfam family "Bacterial small subunit ribosomal RNA", at positions 524 to 786 of the family's 1533-position model. Lineage: Bacteria; Pseudomonadati; Pseudomonadota; Betaproteobacteria; Burkholderiales. The record is from RNAcentral.